GACGAACGCUGGCGGCGUGCUUAACACAUGCAAGUCGAGCGAUGAAGUUCCUUCGGGAAUGGAUUAGCGGCGGACGGGUGAGUAACACGUGGGUAACCUGCCUCAUAGAGGGGAAUAGCCUUUCGAAAGGAAGAUUAAUACCGCAUAAGAUUGUAGUUUCGCAUGAAGCAACAAUUAAAGGAGUAAUCCGCUAUGAGAUGGACCCGCGUCGCAUUAGCUAGUUGGUGAGGUAACGGCUCACCAAGGCGACGAUGCGUAGCCGACCUGAGAGGGUGAUCGGCCACAUUGGGACUGAGACACGGCCCAGACUCCUACGGGAGGCAGCAGUGGGGAAUAUUGCACAAUGGGGGAAACCCUGAUGCAGCAACGCCGCGUGAGUGAUGACGGUCUUCGGAUUGUAAAGCUCUGUCUUCAGGGACGAUAAUGACGGUACCUGAGGAGGAAGCCACGGCUAACUACGUGCCAGCCGCCGCCGUAA
This 478-nucleotide ribosomal RNA is filed under the name uncultured bacterium. RNAcentral describes it as "partial 16S ribosomal RNA". It matches the Rfam family "Bacterial small subunit ribosomal RNA", at positions 28 to 523 of the family's 1533-position model. The record is from RNAcentral.